This 245-nucleotide ribosomal RNA is filed under the name uncultured bacterium. RNAcentral describes it as "partial 16S ribosomal RNA". It matches the Rfam family "Bacterial small subunit ribosomal RNA", at positions 524 to 768 of the family's 1533-position model. The record is from RNAcentral.
UACGGGGGUGCUAGCGUUGUCCGGAAUUACUGGGCGUAAAGCGCGCGUAGGUGGUUUGUUAAGUUGGAUGUGAAAUCCCCGGGCUCAACCUGGGAACUGCAUUCAAAACUGACUGACUAGAGUAUGGUAGAGGGUGGUGGAAUUUCCUGUGUAGCGGUGAAAUGCGUAGAUAUAGGAAGGAACACCAGUGGCGAAGGCGACCACCUGGACUAAUACUGACACUGAGGUGCGAAAAGCGUGGGGGA